GCGCCCGUAGCUCAAUAGGAUAGAGCACCUGGCUACGGACCAGGAGGUUGGGGGUUCGAGUCCCUCCGGGCGCG
RNAcentral lists this transfer RNA (74 nucleotides) under Thermotogota bacterium. Its description in RNAcentral is "Thermotogae bacterium (hydrothermal vent metagenome) tRNA-Arg". It matches the Rfam family "tRNA". Rfam says of the family: Transfer RNA (tRNA) molecules are approximately 80 nucleotides in length. Their secondary structure includes four short double-helical elements and three loops (D, anti-codon, and T loops). Further hydrogen bonds mediate the characteristic L-shaped molecular structure. tRNAs have two regions of fundamental functional importance: the anti-codon, which is responsible for specific mRNA codon recognition, and the 3' end, to which the tRNAs corresponding amino acid is attached (by aminoacyl-tRNA synthetases). tRNAs cope with the degeneracy of the genetic code in two manners: having more than one tRNA (with a specific anti-codon) for a particular amino acid; and 'wobble' base-pairing, i.e. permitting non-standard base-pairing at the 3rd anti-codon position. Lineage: Bacteria; Thermotogati; Thermotogota. RNAcentral also lists the same sequence under 1 other name. The record is from RNAcentral.